This 383-nucleotide ribosomal RNA is filed under the name uncultured eukaryote. RNAcentral describes it as "partial 18S ribosomal RNA". It matches the Rfam family "Eukaryotic small subunit ribosomal RNA", at positions 592 to 976 of the family's 1831-position model. The record is from RNAcentral.
CAAUAGCGUAUAUUAAAGUUGUUGCAGUUAAAAAGCUCGUAGUUGGAUUUCUGGUGGGAGCGAUCGGUCUGGCGCUUAGCGCGAGUACUUGCAUCGUCUCCGGCCAUCCUUGGGGAGUGUCUGUCUGGCAUUAGGUUGUCGGGCAGAGGAUCCUCAUCGUUUACUGUGAAAAAAUUAGAGUGUUCAAAGCAGGCUUAUGCCGUUGAAUAUAUUAGCAUGGAAUAAUAAGAUAGGACUUUGGUACUAUUUUGUUGGUUUGCGCACCAAAGUAAUGAUUAAUAGGGACAGUUGGGGGUAUUCGUAUUCCGUUGUCAGAGGUGAAAUUCUUGGAUUUACAGAAGACGAACUACUGCGAAAGCAUUUACCAAGGAUGUUUUCAUUAA